RNAcentral lists this ribosomal RNA (405 nucleotides) under Pseudomonas sp. RNAcentral describes it as "bacterial SSU rRNA". It matches the Rfam family "Bacterial small subunit ribosomal RNA", at positions 36 to 439 of the family's 1533-position model. Lineage: Bacteria; Pseudomonadati; Pseudomonadota; Gammaproteobacteria; Pseudomonadales; Pseudomonadaceae. The record is from RNAcentral.
CUAUCGCCUGGCGGCAGGCUACACAUGCAGUCGAGCGGUAGAGAGGUGCUUGCACCUCUUGAGAGCGGCGGACGGGUGAGUAAUACCUAGGAAUCUGCCUGGUAGUGGGGGAUAACGUUCGGAAACGGACGCUAAUACCGCAUACGUCCUACGGGAGAAAGCAGGGGACCUUCGGGCCUUGCGCUAUCAGAUGAGCCUAGGUCGGAUUAGCUAGUUGGUGAGGUAAUGGCUCACCAAGGCUACGAUCCGUAACUGGUCUGAGAGGAUGAUCAGUCACACUGGAACUGAGACACGGUCCAGACUCCUACGGGAGGCAGCAGUGGGGAAUAUUGGACAAUGGGCGAAAGCCUGAUCCAGCCAUGCCGCGUGUGUGAAGAAGGUCUUCGGAUUGUAAAGCACUUUAAG